Psammomys obesus (fat sand rat) is the source of this 105-nucleotide small nuclear RNA. The record is from RefSeq and is a predicted model, not a curated record. NCBI's taxonomy places the organism in Eukaryota, Metazoa, Chordata, Mammalia, Rodentia, Muridae.
AAACAAGGACCACAUUGUUGCUUUAGCAACAUUAGAACGAUAAAGAGAUUAGUAUGGUCUGUGCACAAGAAUGACAUACAAAUUUGUGAAAUGUUCUAUAUUUAG